AAAAAAAUAAAUCACUAGAAUCACAGUUUGGUCAUAUAACACUUUUGUUUUUCUCAGACAUUGAAACCUUCCAAAGAAUAUGUAAUAUAAAUUUUCUUUCAGUAUAUUUUCCCAUUUGAUGUGACAGACAUGGGUACUUACAAUCCCUUCAUAAAAUAGUUACCCAUCUUCAAUUUCUUGCUAGGCAAGAAAGCAGAAAUAAUUGUUUCUGUUGGCCUGGCUGCUCUGGUUUUCCCAUUCAGAAGUCCUCUGUUGGGCCUCUAAGUAGUGCUGGAAUCUUCUAGUGUGUUGAGAAUAAUGUUGGCAUUCAUUCUGAGUAAGACAAAUUUGAACUGUCUAGGAUGGGAAUAGUCUCCCACGCAGAACACAGAACCAAAAUCAGAGAAAUAGUUCCACACAAAAUCAUUCUGUUUCCCAAAGGCUUCACGAUGCUGCAUUGAAGAGCUUUAUAGGUUUAAGGUUUCAUAUGAAGCAGAUCAAGCUAGGUUUUCUUUUGAGUGGUAUUUUUAAUUCACACGUCUUAAGUCUUCAAACUUCUUACUCUACAAACAGUUCUUUAUGCAAGAAAAAUGUCUUAACAACCACUUCAGUUUUUUAGUUUAGAAAAAAAAUGCAAAUAACUCCAAACCACAAUGCUAAACCAGCUAGAGAAGAGAAUGCCAAAUAUGCAAAGUUAUUUCACAAUGUAGAAAUACAUUACCUUUUCCCUCUUCAGUUACUACCACAUAUGAGAUCAUAAGCAAUUACAUGCUUUCUCUUUUUUGCAGAGAUAUCUGAUUAAAUGCCUUUCAUACCUCUGUCAUCUUAGACGGUUCAUCAGAAACAGAGAACAUGGUAUCUGAAGUUUGUUGUUAGAGGAUCCAGUUUUGCAUAAUGCGUACACAUCUUACUUAGGUAAACAGCUUCACUAGCUUAUAAGCCUUUGGCAAGUUUUCGCAGGUAAUGUAUCAAAUAUGACUGGCAGCACAAUCAUAUAGAGGUUGACUCACAAUUUGGGGAGGUGGGGUUACUCCAUAGUAUUGUAUUAAUUAAUUAAUUAGCUUUUUGUACAUGUAUAUCUCAUCUUUCUUCCCAUCAUGGAACCUAAGACAGUGUACAUGCCAUUCAAGCUUUAACUAGACCCAGAACUGCCUAACUUCAGAAGGGUGUUGGUCUUGUGUGCCUUCAGACUAUAUACUGGCACUGAUGUGUGUUUCAGUUUGUGACCUCACUAAUUUUCCCGUAUAGAAGAAAAUGCAAAUACCUCUUUGGUAAGGAGGAUAGUUAUAUCUGUUCCUAAAGAUGAUGGUCUAGACUAGUGAAGUCUACUAACUGAACUCUGCUAAUCGACUUUUAGUGUUGUCAUUUUUCUUGUUGGCUUUCUUGAAGUGAUAGGAAAUGCAAAAUAUCAGUUUGUUGUGUCACAAAAAUUGAAAGUCCAACUUAAUGCUGUACUGUUUUUAACACUUGAUUGGAAGUCGCCCAGAGUGGCUGGGGAAACUCAGCCAGAUGGGCGGGGUAUAAAUAAUAAAUUAUUAUUAUUAUUAUUAUUAUUAUUAUUUCAGUAGGAGAAACCACAUGUUUAAAUCUCCCCCAUUUAAAUCACUUGAACUUAAGCACACUUUAUGAUGAAUGUUGUUGCCAGAUUGUGCCCAAUAAUUGUACCUUCUGAACGAGUAAAAAUGUAAGUUAAAUUUAGGACUUGAAGGUAUCCUUUUGUAUCAUACUGCUAUACGGACACAACAAAGUUCAAUAUCUGCAAAGUCUGGUUUAUGGGAAGCCCUCUGUCUGUGUUCAAUGUCUAUUGGAAGCAUUUUGCAAUUGGUUUAAGCCUCCUUUGUCUCCAGACCAUGUCACUGAUCCAGGGACAAUACAAGGUUGUCCACCACCUUCUGCAACACUUUUGGUUCCUUCUGCAAAGAACUCUGGAUAAGAUAACACAUUGAGGAACUAUGUUUUGGAUGUGAGGAACCUCCAGUUUUGGAUGUGAUAAUUGGUACCCUUGGGGGGGGGGGUAUCUAUAGCUGGUCUGUGUGCAGACUGCUCUUUCUGGGUCUGGGUAAGACAUCCUCCUGCCAUCUCUACUUGACUCCUCCAGUUCUACAGUAUCUCUGAUGGUGAUCUUUUCUUAUCGAGCUCUAGCACCGUCACCUUUCCCAAGGCUUCCUCUUCCCUCAAAUGAUUUUGUCCUUUUCCCCUUUUCCCUCUUCCUCCUAUAAUGCCUCUGUGGUUCCAAUGUCUUGUUCUUCCUUCAAAUCCAUUCUCAAAAUCUGUAUUUUCCAUGAAGCCUUUCACAUAACCUCCUCAUUCCCAUAUCUAGUAUGACCAAGCCAAGUGUGUAUAACUGUUGAUCCCUGCCUUCAUUUCUCUUCCUUUCCUCUGUUGUGUUGAUUUCUAGAUUGUAAGCCGCUCAGGGCAGGGAUCUGUCAUCAUUUGAAAAGUGCCAUGUACAUAGAUGGCACUAGAUAAACAAAUAUAAAUAGAAUUUUGAAGUCGUCUUAGUUCCUCUUCCAUUUCUAACCAUUCUGACAAGAACUUAAGUGUAUUCCUUUGUGGGUCAAAAUAUUCCACAUUAUCAGUGCAGUCACUGAAAAGGCCCUAUCUCUUGUCAUCAUCUAUAUCUCCACCCCUGGCAGGAAACAAAGAAGGGCCUCUCAUAUUUCAGUGACGCAUCUCACUUGUAGUUGAACUCUUGAGGUGUUAGUGUCAAUCAUGGAUAAAAUGUUUUUAGAAUCUAUCACGAAAGCUUUUAUCAGGUCUUUUUGCAAUUUGGUAGUAAUUUGUUAGUGAAUGCAAAUGGAUUUUUUCCUCAAUGAAAGUUAGAUCAAGAUGUUCAGCUGCAUUACAUCACCUCCUUGUUUGGUAUGCAAUAAAAACAUUCCUCUGUGCUUGAAUAAAUAAACAUCAUAAACAACUCUUCCCAAUUUGCAUGUUACAGAAACCACAGAGACUGUAGCAAGGUCAGGAAAACAUGGAUAUUUCCAACCGGCCAGUCAACAAAUAUUAUUAAGCACGCAGCUGAUCUCAUAGGGCAUGGGUUAAAAAGGAAAUUCAUCCUGAAAUUGAGGGUGGAAGCUAGUGUGUCUCCCCUAUGACCCAGUUCCAUGAGUCAAUAUGCUGACAAAGGCGCACAUAGGACUUGGGUAUGAGAAUCCCAUGAGAAUGCAAGGGCAUGAUGUUUGACCCUAGCCCCACUGCCAGCACAAUAACAAGCAUUGGUGCUAUUCUACCAGCAGCAAACCCCUGCUGUUGUCUUGGCACAACUAUACUGCCUUGGCACAACAUUUAAUGCAGCUUGGGAAAGGUUUACCCCAAUCCACUUCUGCGCCACAAGCGGUCCAGGAGUCAAAAGUCACAAUAUUUCUUAUAACAAAGGCAAAACGGGGCCAAGUGCUGGAUUUCUCACAUUAGCCGUGGCGGGGCAGCUAAAACAGAGGAGUGCCUAGGAGUUGGCAAAGCCAGCUCUACUGGGAGCACAGGUCUGAGGGAAGGGGCACAAAAAUCACCCCAGAAAUCAGUCUCCAGUUAUCUGUGUAAUGUCAUGAGUUUAGGCAAGAGCUGGAAAUUGAGCAGUAGGAGAAAUGGCAAGACGGUAUGAAGGUAGACCACUAGAGACUAUGGAGUGUGUGACUUAGAUGUGCCAUCACUGUUGUGACAAGAUCAAAUGUGGGGAAAGUGAUUUGGGGGGAGGAGUGCUGGUACAGGUCCUUGCCAAGGGCGCAAGGGACCCCAACAGGAGAAGUGGGAUUUGGGGGGGCACAGAUCAAUAAAGCUCCUUGCUAAGGGUGCAAGGGACACCUAGGUACACCUAGAGUGACAGACUUUGAGCGCUGGUUUGAACAUGCAUAUGCAUUACUUUGCAGCUGUAGCAUCAACUGAGGCUUGGUGUAUAUCUGAAUGUGCAUUUGCAUUAGGAAUCUUAGAUGAAUUGGGGAGGAGUGGCCAGACAGAAAAGGGUUAAGCAGCCUCUUCCUUGGCAUUUCCUAUCACCAACACUAAACUCACAGGCUCCUGGGACUGCCUUGGUAGAGGGAGAAAAGGGAGAGAGUUGCAUUCAAUUGUGUGCCAUGUCUAGGUUGGGCCUGAGUUGGUUAAUCGAACACAGCUUUGAAAGAUUUGAAGUUCAAAUCAAUGCCAUUCCGUAAAGCUUCAUUCCAUGUGAACCAGUCUUCUGGGGCCUGUUCCCGAGAUUUCAGAGGCAAGUCAGCAAUCCUUGUGUAAUGAUGCAAUCCAGACUAUUGCAUAAGGAGCAGGCACUUGUGUGAUAUGAAAUAAAUUCCUGAGCUUGCAGCAACAUCUGAGACUUGACAGUGCUGUUGAUAUAAAGAUUUCCAGUGCAUAUAAAGAUUUUAAGCAUGAAGAAACUGAAAUGCUCGAAUGUCUUGUCCUCUAAAUACAGCAGGGGUUGUGUAGUAGUUAAGAGCAUGGCAAUAACUUAGUGGCUCAAAUUUCGUCCGAAUCAGGGCUUCAACCGGAACUUGGUUCUAGCACCUCUCAGAUGAGCACCAUUGCCAUUAUAAGAGAACUAGGGAGAUAUUCAUGGUGAGUUCUGGCACCUCAUUUUCUAGAAAAAUACCACUGGUCUUAAUCAUAAAUUUACUGGGAAGUUUUAGGUUAUCUGGAGUCUCGUGGUCCUAGCCUGUUUGCACCUUAUUACCUUACCCACUCUGGUUCCUUCCAACUCUACAAUUCCAUGAUUCUAUGAUUCUGCCAUCUAGGGUGGUGAUGAUAAUACUUGCCCAACCUAGUAAGGCUGUUGCAGUGAUUAUAGAGGUAAGAUUUAUUAGCUGUUUUGAGGCACUGGGUCAGGGGGCUUAGUAUAAAGAUACUAAGGAUUAAUAUUCUUAAAGAAACAGUAGUAUGUAUAAAAUACAUAUAAGACCAAUGAGAAGGUGGUGAGUGGGGUGGAAAUGGGAACUCUCCCUGGAAGUGACACUAAUAAGGCAAGCUGCCCCAUCAAUAAGUAUCUAGGAAGUACUGCUCUUUUACCAGAAUAGCAUUGCCAGACAUGGUGCUGAGGAAAUGCUUGUUGCAUGGAUGUAGAUAUAGAGGGGGGGAUAUGCAGAAUAGCAAUGCUUUUCUUCCUUUCAGGGAAGUUCCCAGUUGUUAAAAAGAAGCUGAAUGGAUUAUGCUAAGUUUUUCUUUACAAUUAUGUAUGGUAUGUUCCCGUUGAGUAUUUAAAAAUCUAAUUUUACUGGAAAUUUCAAGAUAAGUUAAAUUUGUAAAAAUGCUUUUAUUUUUCAAAGAAAGAGAUAUGGGACCAUUGCAUGUAAAUAAUAGAAUAUAUUUUCCGUAUUAUUGCUCUGUAUUUUUAUAUGCUAAAUCUCUAGCUUCAGACUAUGUUUUACUAACCCUGAUGCAGUGGAAACUUUUAUUUAUUUAAAAACAAGAAUGAUGUAUUUUGACUCCACGGAGAUAUAGAUAUAGAUAUAGAUAUAUAUUACAAGAUAAACAUUUGAAGGUGUUUCAUAAAUGGCUGAUCUACUUUUCAUUUGUUGCAAACCUGUAUGUUGUUACACACUUCUUGAUCCUGUCCGCCAUAGCUUUAUAACCACCAAAAGAUCACCUGAUCAACAGAAUACUUUUCGAAACAUGCUAUUCUAAUUCCUGUUCUACCAGUUCAUACAUUAAAAAUCAAAUAGGAAUUUUAAAGUGUGUUGGUUUUGUUGUCUGCAACUGUUUUAAGUUUUAUGUAACCCUUGAGGGUAAGUGAUUGGGUCAUGUAUGACUGUGAUGGGAAGAAGAAGAGCCAAAGGCAAGAAGAACCAUCCCUUUCAUUUCUGUCUUUCUGGCUCCCCCUUCUCUCGUUUUCUCCCUGUCUCCCACUUUCCUCCACCCAUUGAGCUGCUGAAGAGACACAGGUCACUUUUGCUAGAUAUUUUAACUAAUCACCAGCAGAGGACUUUGGGGAAACAAAACCUGAGGGCCAUAUGUAGCCUCAAAGCCACAGGUUGCCCACCUGUGGCUAAUGAGAACUAGGUACCUGUAAUGG
Molecule: non-coding RNA, 5971 nt
Organism: Podarcis lilfordi (Lilford's wall lizard)
Lineage: Eukaryota; Metazoa; Chordata; Lepidosauria; Squamata; Lacertidae
Source: the annotation of a GenBank genome assembly